AGUGAAUAUUAAACGGCCGCGGUACCCUAACCGUGCAAAGGUAGCGUAAUCAUUUGUCUAUUAAUUGUAGACCCGUAUGAAGGGCAAAAUGAGGGUUUAACUGUCUCUUAUAAUAAAUCAAUUAAACUGAUCUCCUAGUAAAAAAGCUAGAAUAUUCUCAUAAGACCAGAAGACCCUGUGAAGCUUAAACUAAACUAUUAAAUCUCAUAAUAACUACUUUCGGUUGGGGCGACCUUGGAAAAAAAGAGAACUUCCAAACAUAGUGUUUAUAAACCACUCCACGCAGGCCUACAAGCCCACUUAUACUUUAAAACCAGACCCAGUAUAACUGAAAAUUGAACCAAGUUACUCCAGGGAUAACAGCGCCAUCUUCUUCAAGAGCCCAUAUCAAAAAGAAGGUUUACGACCUCGAUGUUGGAUCAGGACAUCCUAA
This 433-nucleotide ribosomal RNA is filed under the name Apostolepis albicollaris. RNAcentral's name for it is "LSU rRNA". It matches the Rfam family "Bacterial large subunit ribosomal RNA", at positions 1911 to 2550 of the family's 2925-position model. Lineage: Eukaryota; Metazoa; Chordata; Lepidosauria; Squamata; Dipsadidae. The record is from RNAcentral.